UUUUUUUUAAAAGUUUAAGAUAGAGUCAAGUGUUUUGCCAUUGGUAGUGAUGGCUAAGUCCAAUCGAAUAUUCAUUGUUUGGUGUUGUAAUUUUGUCCUAAUUUGAAUAGCAUUUGAUCAUGUCAUUACUAGGUUUAUUAGUUUAUUAGUUCAGUCCUUCAUAAUGUCGAAUCUCACCGGUCUUGUUAUGCUAUCUUGUAGGCAUUGAAAUCUAUGCGAUAUACUCUUCGAGUUUUGUUAGCCUUUCAAAAGAAAUGUCUAAUAUUCUGCAUCAGCUUUGUAUGCUGCCCAGUGACAUGAUUAUGUGUUUUUUUAUAACCUUGCAUAGGAUGUUCGUUUCUUAUUUUGCUCAAGUCUGAAAAUUGCUUUGUUGUUCCAACCCUGCUAAUUGUUUGAUGUUUUGGGGCUUAAUAAUUAAUUUUCCAAGAUGUGUGUUAAUUAAAAUCAUAAUGGUUCUCCUGUUUUUGUCUAAAAUUUGAGGAUACCUAUCCUAAUUGUUGGUUUGCCACCUGUCUCAAUUACCCAUGUGGUGUCUUUGCUUGGCAACAUAGUUCUCUUUGCACUUUUGUAUUUAUCCAUGUAUAACAUUAUUAGAUUUCAUUAAAUAGAGUUGGUUAGACUCAAUCCCGUGAUAUUUUACUUGCUAAUUAUACGGCAUAUUUCCUCUUAACAUUUGAGUUUAUUUUGGUUAAUAGUUAUGUAUUCCCUAGAAUAUAGCAUGCUCAUAAGUGUAUAUAUAUGUNNNNNNNNNNNNNNNNNNNNNNNNNNNNNNNNNNNNNNNNNNNNUUUUUCCCCUUCAUUGCUCAUUGCCCUCCACGUAUAAAAAAUAAUAAUAACAAAUAAAUAAAAUAAAAUAAAAUAAAAUAAUAUAUAUAUAUAUUAUGUCUUCAUGAAUUUCCCAUUUAUAUUAGAGUUUAAAUAUUGUGCUAUUUACGACUAAUUGAUAUUUGUUGUUCCACUUAUUUAUUCAUUUUUUAUAAGUGCUAAUUCUGCAAUUUGUUUAUCGUUUGCAUGUGAAAUCGGCCCGAGUUCACCAUGAACUCCCAUAUUUUUUCCUUGCAUAUCGAGAGAGCCAUAAAGGCUCAAAUGCCACCUCCAUUGAGUCAGUCAAUCGCUAAAGUCGAUGAACAGGUCCCGAGGUUGGAAGGAGCAACCGAUUGUGAAAAUUUGAAAAGAUUGGGCCAAAGGCCUAACUUCUUUAAGAAAUUGUAUUUUGUUAUUUUGGGCCUAAGCCCCCUUGUCAUUAUUUAUUGUUAUUGUGUUAGUUCUUAGGACAGGUGGAGAAAAAUUGGGCCUAAAGCCCAAAAGAAAAUGUCUUAUAUAUAUUAGACUAGGACAAGUGCAGAUGACUCAAAUGGGCCAAAAGCCCGAAACAAAAAUGGGCCCAAGUAUUGGUCCAGGCGGACAGAAAAACCAAACUUGGGCCCAAACUUCCUUUCCUUAUCUAUACAAUUGUUACUAUAUGUUUUAUUUGUUAAAAUUAAUCUUAAGAUUCUAAAAAUUCAACUCCCCAAAAGAAAGCCGUUUUGAAUUGAAA
Molecule: long non-coding RNA, 1537 nt
Filed under: Solanum tuberosum (potato)
Lineage: Eukaryota; Viridiplantae; Streptophyta; Magnoliopsida; Solanales; Solanaceae
Description: long non-coding RNA (STUB_LNC003357)
Source: RNAcentral